Phrynosoma platyrhinos (Desert horned lizard) is the source of this 71-nucleotide non-coding RNA. The record is from the annotation of a GenBank genome assembly. Lineage: Eukaryota; Metazoa; Chordata; Lepidosauria; Squamata; Phrynosomatidae.
GCCAGAGCGGUGCAGUGGUUUGAUCGUCGGACUAUGACUCUGGAGAACAGGGUUCGAAUUCCUGCCUGGCA